Molecule: transfer RNA, 65 nt
Filed under: Eophreatoicus karrkkanj
Lineage: Eukaryota; Metazoa; Arthropoda; Malacostraca; Isopoda; Amphisopidae
Description: tRNA-Pro
Source: RNAcentral
CAGAAAGUAGUUUAAUUAAAAUAUUAAUUUUGGAUAUUAAAGAAAAACCAUAAUUUCCUUUCUGA